Molecule: ribosomal RNA, 443 nt
Filed under: uncultured bacterium
Lineage: Bacteria
Description: partial 16S ribosomal RNA
Rfam family: Bacterial small subunit ribosomal RNA
Source: RNAcentral
GAUGAACGCUGGCGGCAUGCCUAACACAUGCAAGUCGAUCGGUAAGGCUCUUCGGAGUACACGAGAGGCGGACGGCUGAGUAACGCGUAGGAACACACCCUGCAGUGAGGGAUAAGACACCGAAAGGUGUUCUAAUACCGCAUACGGUCUUCGGAUUAAAGCAUUUAUGCGCUGAAGGAGUGGCCUGCGUCAUAUUAGAUAGUUGGUGAGGUAAUGGCUCACCAAGUCGAUGAUGUGUAGCUGGUCUGAGAGGAUGAUCAGCCAGACUGGAACUGAGACACGGUCCAGACUCCUACGGGAGGCAGCAGCGAGGAAUAUUUCACAAUGAGCGAAAGCUUGAUGGAGCAAUGCCGCGUGCAGGAUGAAGGCCCUCGGGUUGUAAACUGCUUUUAUAAGAGAAGAUUAUGACGGUAACUUAUGAAUAAGGGACGGCUAACUACGUG